Molecule: long non-coding RNA, 754 nt
Filed under: Homo sapiens (human)
Lineage: Eukaryota; Metazoa; Chordata; Mammalia; Primates; Hominidae
Description: novel transcript
Source: RNAcentral
GUUGUUCAGUGAUCCGGGAGGUGGAAGGCUAUUGGUUCAGGGAGCCCGUCAGACCGGACUGGAGUGAGCCAUGAUUGGUCGACACAGGCGCAAUCAGGUAUCAUCUAGUGAACUGUUCAGAUGCAACUGAAUUGAAAAGGAGCUGAACAAAAGAUCCUGAGAGAGACUUCAACAAAAAGUAAAAUGGAUUUUAUCAUACUUGAAAAAUCAACAAUUGCAGUCUGGAUUCAUACAUCACUGUCUGAUGCACCCAACUUGAGUCAAAAAGAUGUUUCAAAUCCCACUAGGCUGGAGGCAAAAAUACUCAAGAGUUUAAGAGCGUCUCUUGACAGUGUACAGAAUAAGAUAGCUUCUCAGCUUUCAGCUUUACUUCACGGUUUUAACUAUCAAAAGAAGCAAGCCAUCUGAAGAUUUGCCUGAGACUGAAGGAUCCACUUCUGCGACGACUCCCUCAGGACUUAUAAUGCAGAUGGAACCAGAUUGAGAAAAACCAGCCAACCAACCAACCAACAUGAUGGCUGAACCAGACAAGAGAAGUCCCGAAGUAAAAUACCCACCAAUUACCAGAAUCUGUGCCUGCCAUACAUCGAAGGUUGGUGAUGCAGCAGCUGAAAUCCACCAUGUCCCUGGAGAUGCUGGUGUGGGCAGGUCGCAAGCCACUGGUAUUGGCUGCAAUGGAUACUGAACUUGACCAAAUCUUUUCAUUCUAAUCCUUCUAAAUGCAUUAUACAAAGAAAUCAACCUAAUAGAAGAA